This 440-nucleotide ribosomal RNA is filed under the name uncultured bacterium. Its description in RNAcentral is "partial 16S ribosomal RNA". It matches the Rfam family "Bacterial small subunit ribosomal RNA", at positions 338 to 795 of the family's 1533-position model. The record is from RNAcentral.
CCUACGGGUGGCAGCAGUGGGGAAUAUUGCACAAUGGGGGAAACCCUGAUGCAGCGACGCCGCGUGAGUGAAGAAGUAUUUCGGUAUGUAAAGCUCUAUCAGCAGGGAAGAAAAUGACGGUACCUGACUAAGAAGCCCCGGCUAACUACGUGCCAGCAGCCGCGGUAAUACGUAGGGGGCAAGCGUUAUCCGGAUUUACUGGGUGUAAAGGGAGAGUAGACGGCAGAACAAGUCUGGAGUGAAAUGCCGGGGCUGAACCACGGCACUGCUUUGGAAACUGUGCAGCUAGAGUGCAGGAGAGGUAAGUGGAAUUCCUAGUGUAGCGGUGAAAUGCGUAGAUAUUAGGAGGAACACCAGUGGCGCAGGCGGCUUACUGGACUGUAACUGACGUUGAGGCUCGAAAGCGUGGGGAGCAAACAGGAUUAGAUACCCCAGUAGUC